UCUGCACAUGCACACUGCAAGUGCAGACAUGAGUCAGGCGCUUCUAUGUGCGCUGAUGGCUGCUUGGAGUCUUGGAAUCAGCAGCCAGACGGUGCACCAGCUGGAACGGGACGCCCACACCGUGGAGGGUGCAGCAGUGAUGCUGGACUGCACCUACGACGGAGCGGGGGACUUAGACUACAUCUUAUGGUACAAACAAGAAGCCAACUCAUCGCCCGAGUUCAUCCUGAGCCGCUUUAAGAUUGGUCACGGCAAGAAGGCGGAAAAGUACAGUGAUAGGUUUUGCUCCACCAUGAACGCCAGCGCUCGGCAAGCUCCUCUGUAUAUUGAGCGUGUGAAGCCCAGCGACUCGGGAGCCUUCUACUGCGCAUUGCAGAUCACGCUGACACAACCACUGGCGUGCCUGCACAAAAACAUGUGCACCCGCCUCAUCUCAUAAGUGACAUUGGGGGCGUGGCCUCACCGGAGUCUAAGAGAAACAAAGCUCAAUUCCGCCUCCUGCCUAUUUGUAAGUCGCGGUUUUGUGAGCAUUGAGUAAAUUUGCUGCUUUGAAUUACCGUAAUCAAAUGAAUGCUUUCCAUAGAG
This is a non-coding RNA of Hippocampus zosterae (dwarf seahorse), 585 nucleotides long. The record is from the annotation of a RefSeq genome assembly. NCBI's taxonomy places the organism in Eukaryota, Metazoa, Chordata, Actinopteri, Syngnathiformes, Syngnathidae.